RNAcentral lists this ribosomal RNA (800 nucleotides) under Bacillus tequilensis. RNAcentral's name for it is "bacterial SSU rRNA". It matches the Rfam family "Bacterial small subunit ribosomal RNA", at positions 32 to 815 of the family's 1533-position model. The record is from RNAcentral. Lineage: Bacteria; Bacillati; Bacillota; Bacilli; Caryophanales; Bacillaceae.
UGCACUUGCCGCGUUUCUAUACAUGCAAGUCGAGCGGACAGAUGGGAGCUUGCUCCCUGAUGUUAGCGGCGGACGGGUGAGUAACACGUGGGUAACCUGCCUGUAAGACUGGGAUAACUCCGGGAAACCGGGGCUAAUACCGGAUGGUUGUUUGAACCGCAUGGUUCAAACAUAAAAGGUGGCUUCGGCUACCACUUACAGAUGGACCCGCGGCGCAUUAGCUAGUUGGUGAGGUAACGGCUCACCAAGGCAACGAUGCGUAGCCGACCUGAGAGGGUGAUCGGCCACACUGGGACUGAGACACGGCCCAGACUCCUACGGGAGGCAGCAGUAGGGAAUCUUCCGCAAUGGACGAAAGUCUGACGGAGCAACGCCGCGUGAGUGAUGAAGGUUUUCGGAUCGUAAAGCUCUGUUGUUAGGGAAGAACAAGUACCGUUCGAAUAGGGCGGUACCUUGACGGUACCUAACCAGAAAGCCACGGCUAACUACGUGCCAGCAGCCGCGGUAAUACGUAGGUGGCAAGCGUUGUCCGGAAUUAUUGGGCGUAAAGGGCUCGCAGGCGGUUUCUUAAGUCUGAUGUGAAAGCCCCCGGCUCAACCGGGGAGGGUCAUUGGAAACUGGGGAACUUGAGUGCAGAAGAGGAGAGUGGAAUUCCACGUGUAGCGGUGAAAUGCGUAGAGAUGUGGAGGAACACCAGUGGCGAAGGCGACUCUCUGGUCUGUAACUGACGCUGAGGAGCGAAAGCGUGGGGAGCGAACAGGAUUAGAUACCCUGGUAGUCCACGCCGUAAACGAUGAGUG